RNAcentral lists this ribosomal RNA (461 nucleotides) under uncultured Arcobacter sp. RNAcentral's name for it is "bacterial SSU rRNA". It matches the Rfam family "Bacterial small subunit ribosomal RNA", at positions 923 to 1382 of the family's 1533-position model. Lineage: Bacteria; Pseudomonadati; Campylobacterota; Epsilonproteobacteria; Campylobacterales; Arcobacteraceae. The record is from RNAcentral.
GCACAAGCGUGGAGCAUGUGGUUUAAUUCACGAUACGCGAAGAACCUUACCUGGCCUUGACAUACUAAAAAGCUUUUAAGAGAUUAGAGUGUGCUAGCUUGCUAGAAUUUAGAUACAGGUGCUGCACGGCUGUCGUCAGCUCGUGUCGUGAGAUGUUGGGUUAAGUCCCGCAACGAGCGCAACCCUCGUGUUUAGUUGCUAACAGUUCGGCUGAGAACUCUAAACAGACUGCCUACGCAAGUAGGAGGAAGGUGAGGACGACGUCAAGUCAUCAUGGCCCUUACGGCCAGGGCUACACACGUGCUACGAUGGGGUAUACAAAGAGCAGCGAUACGGUGACGUGGAGCAAAUCUAGAAAAUGCCUCUCAGUUCGGAUUGUAGUCUGCAACUCGACUACAUGAAGUUGGAAUCGCUAGUAAUCGUAGAUCAGCAAUGCUACGGUGAAUACGUUCCCGGGUCUU